CAAGAAUUUAGACUGGACUUGUUAUAUUUCAGUUGCCUAGGAAACAGCUGAGAAAAGAGGCCAAAUGACAGUUACCUCAUUCUGAUGACAUCUAUUAAUCUUAAUUACCACAGCCAAGUAAUGGGGAAAAAAUACAUCAGGAUUCCAAGAGGACCAAGAAAAUGCCAACAGGAGGUGACACCUACUGGGAUCUCACAGAAGAAGCCAAGACUCAGAGAGUUGGUAGAACCAGCACAUCACUACACACCUGGCACUGAUACCAGAAUUCUUCACUUGGAUGGAAUCACAGAAAGAGACCAGCCUAAGGAGGCUCUGCUGGAAAAGGAGGCUCUGCUUCAAGACUCCUCCUCUGACCAAAAUGUUCAUUUGAGCGAGAUGCAAUGAAAAAGCUGUUAAGCAACUCUUGGUUUUUAUUUCUCACGGUAACAUGCUUAGCUGGCUGUGACUGAACAUCUACCAUGUGCUAAACACACUGCAAGAUGCUAGCUACUAUGUUCCUGCUUUUAAAUUUGGCAGCAGUCUUACUAGGCAGGUACUGAACCCACUGAAAGAAUAAUAGAAAUGAAUAGAAACUAGGAUGGCCCUUAUUCCACAUUGGAGGUUCUCAAACUACAUACAACAAAAUACCAGUUUGUCUUGUUCUUAUUUUAAAAUUCCCAAUCUG
Molecule: long non-coding RNA, 664 nt
Organism: Canis lupus familiaris (dog)
Lineage: Eukaryota; Metazoa; Chordata; Mammalia; Carnivora; Canidae
Exons: 4
Source: RefSeq, a predicted model, not a curated record